GAUGAACGCUGGCGGCGUGCCUAAUACAUGCCAGUCGAGCGAACGGACGAGAAGCUUGCUUCUCUGAUGUUAGCGGCGGACGGGUGAGUAACACGUGGAUAACCUACCUAUAAGACUGGGAUAACUUCGGGAAACCGGAGCUAAUACCGGAUAAUAUUUUGAACCGCAUGGUUCAAAAGUGAAAGACGGUCUUGCUGUCACUUAUAGAUGGAUCCGCGCUGCAUUAGCUAGUUGGUAAGGUAACGGCUUACCAAGGCAACGAUGCAUAGCCGACCUGAGAGGGUGAUCGGCCACACUGGAACUGAGACACGGUCCAGAGUCCUACGGGAGGCAGCAGUAGGGAAUCUUCCGCAAUGGGCGAAAGCCUGACGGAGCAACGCCGCGUGAGUGAUGAAGGUCUUCGGAUCGUAAAACUCUGUUAUUAGGGAAGAACAUAUGUGUAAGUAACUGUGCACAUCUUGACGGUACCUAAUCAGAAAGCCACGGCUAACUACGUG
RNAcentral lists this ribosomal RNA (497 nucleotides) under uncultured bacterium. RNAcentral's name for it is "partial 16S ribosomal RNA". It matches the Rfam family "Bacterial small subunit ribosomal RNA", at positions 28 to 507 of the family's 1533-position model. The record is from RNAcentral.